UGCCAGCCGCCGCGGUAAUACCGGCGGUCCAAGUUGCAGCCAUAAUUAUUGGGUCUAAAACAUUCGUAGCUUGUCUUGUAAGUCUCUUGUGAAAUAUUAUCUCUCAAGGAUAAGGCGUGCAAGAGAUACUGCAAGACUAGAGACCGGAAGACGUAGCGAGUACGACCAAGGUAGUGGUAAAAUACGUUAAUCUUAGUUGGACUAACAAUGGCGAAGGCACACUACGAGGACGGAUCUGACAGUGAGGGGUGAAGGCCAGGGUCGCAAAACGGAUUAGAUACCCGUGUAGUCCUGGCAGUAAACACUGCACACUAAACAUCAGUACCUCCUCGAGAGGUAUUGGUGCUGUAGGGAAGCGAAGAGUGUGCUACCUGGGAAGUAUAGCCGCAAGGCCGAAACUUAAAGGAAUUGGCGGGGGAGUACUACAACGGGUGACGCGUGCGGUUCAAUUAGAUUCCACACCGUGAACCUCACCAGGAUCGACAGCAGAAUGAAGGUCAGUCUGAAGGGCUUACCUGACACGCUGAGAGGAGUUGCAUGGCCGACGUCAGCCUGUGCCGUGAGGUGACCUGUUAAAUCAGGUAACAGGCGAGACCCGUGUGCAUUGUUGAUUUUUCACACUAUGCAGACUGCUUUGGUAACAAGGAGGAAGGUGCGGGCUACGUUAGGUGAGUACGGCCCGAAUCCCCUGGGCGACACGCGCGCGGCAAUGCUAUAUUCAAAGAGAUGCAACUCUGAAAAGAGAAGCUAAUCCCAUAAAGUAUAGCCUAGUUCAGAUUGAGCGUUGCAACUCGCGCUCAUGACGAUGGAAUCCGUAGUAAUCGUUUGUUAGCAACGAACGGUAAAUAAGUCCCUGCUCCUUGCACACACUGCCCGUCAAACCAACCGAGUUAUGUUUUG
Molecule: ribosomal RNA, 900 nt
Filed under: uncultured archaeon
Lineage: Archaea
Description: partial 16S ribosomal RNA
Rfam family: Archaeal small subunit ribosomal RNA
Source: RNAcentral